Molecule: transfer RNA, 71 nt
Filed under: Marmota monax (woodchuck)
Lineage: Eukaryota; Metazoa; Chordata; Mammalia; Rodentia; Sciuridae
Rfam family: tRNA
About the family: Transfer RNA (tRNA) molecules are approximately 80 nucleotides in length. Their secondary structure includes four short double-helical elements and three loops (D, anti-codon, and T loops).
Source: Rfam by way of RNAcentral
GGGGUUGUGGCUCAGAGGUAGAGCACUCACUAGCAUGUGUGAGGCACUGGGUUCGAUCCUCAGCAGCACCA